RNAcentral lists this long non-coding RNA (211 nucleotides) under Brassica napus (rape). RNAcentral's name for it is "long non-coding RNA (BNAP_LNC009262)". The record is from RNAcentral. Lineage: Eukaryota; Viridiplantae; Streptophyta; Magnoliopsida; Brassicales; Brassicaceae.
UUGAGCCUUAAAACGAAUACAUGUAUUUCUUAUAAGAAUACAAUAUCAUUGGUAUGUUGACAUUGAACAUGUAAGCUAUUUUCAUAAGACAAGCGGAGUGAGUAGGUGGAAAUGUUGUUGCCACCUUUGUAUCUGUUAGAAUUGUCUCUUGUAUCUGCUGGUGUGGCUAUGUUUGUUUCUCUUUUAUUUGAUGGGUAAUAUGUAAACAAAA